This is a long non-coding RNA of Labrus mixtus (cuckoo wrasse), 2445 nucleotides long. RefSeq lists it as uncharacterized. The transcript is spliced from 4 exons. The record is from RefSeq and is a predicted model, not a curated record. NCBI's taxonomy places the organism in Eukaryota, Metazoa, Chordata, Actinopteri, Labriformes, Labridae.
UUUCUUUAUAUUCAAAUGUCUCUCUCUCUCCCCCCCCUCUCUCUCUCUCUCUCUCUCCUCAGAGCUCUAUACAUCACCGUCCAUAACGAGGCCUCAUCCACUAACGAGCAAUCAGAGAAUAUUAGACCAAUUAGAGGCCUAAUUGAAUUAGAGAGGAGGGAGAGAGAAAGGAGGGAAGGAAACAGGAGAGGAUAGGAGAGGAAAGGCGAGGCAAAGACAAAAGGAAAGCAGAGGAGGAAAGGAUACACAAGCGUAGGAAAGGAGAGGGAAAAGGACGAAAGGAGGAAUAACAGGAGAAAAAGAAGACGAGGAAAGGAAAAACAGGAAGGAAGGGAAGGAGAGGAAACAAGGGAGGGAGAAUAGAUAAGACGUGAAAGAGAAAAGGAACAAGAUAGGCAAAGGUACCAAAAGGAGGAAAGAAUAAGAGGGAGGUGAUGAGAUAAGAGAAGACGGAAAGAAAGGAGGAGAGUAGCCAAGGUGAGGGGAAGAAAGAUAAGGAGGAUAGAGGGAGUCCAGCAAGUGAGGAGAGGAAAGGAAGCAAGGAGAGGAGAGGAAGACUGAGAAAAGGGAAGGAGGAGAAAUUGGAAAAACAGGAAAGGAAGGAAGGACAGUAGGGAAGAUGAGAAGGAAGGGGACACAAGGGAAGGAAAAAAGGAGAUGAGGAGAGGAGAGGAGAGGAGCAUAAAUAGACAUGUUCAUUGACCUCCACACUGACUUUUUUUUUUGAUUGACAGCUGGGUGUGAGAGGUGCAUUAUGGUCCGUUGUCUGUGCAGUGUGUGUCCAUCAUGAUGCAUUUGCAUGUUAAGCCACGCCCCCUUUAAUCAACCUCUUCCUCCCCCUCCUUUUCUCUUCAAACUCUUCGUUCUGUUUUUAACUUUUUCUCUCUCUUCUGUUUUUUUUUCUCUCCCUAAUCUCUCUCCCCCCCCCCCCCCCCCCCGCAGCGAGCCCACACGCCCCCCCCUCCAGCCUCCACUUCUCCUCCUCCCCCAUCUUGCAGCAGCCCGGCUCCUACUUCUCCCACCCGGCCAUCAGGUAUCACCCACAGGAGACGCUCAAGGAGUUCGUCCAGCUGGUCUGUCCUGACUCCGCCCAGCAGGCCGGACAGGUGGGCUUCCUCAAUCCUAAUGGUAGCUCCCAGGGGAAGGUCCACAACCCUUUCCUGCCGACGCCCAUGCUGCCUCCCCCUCCGCCUCCCCCGAUGGCACGUCCCGUCCCACUGCCCGUCGACGCAAAGCCGCCCUCCACCUCCUCCACCGAGGGGGGAGGAAACUCACCCACCUCGCCCACCUACUCCACUCCCACUUCAUCCCCAGCCCAGAGAUUCGUCAGCGUGGGACCCAGAGACCCCGGCUUUAACAUCCCUCAGCAACCGCAGUGGUACCUGGGAUAAGGACUCCAGAGGCCCCUCCCCCCUCCACCCACCUGUACGACAGAUCGCUGCAGCCUCCUCCUUUGACCUUUGAUGCCAGCUGUGAUGGAGAGUCUUUACCUGCCCCGCCCCCCUUCAAGCCCUCCUCCUCCUCCUCCUCCUCUUCCUUUUCCCUCCUUCUGCGCCUGACUCCGCCCCCACCAGCGCCAUACACAGACUCGGCAGCAUCAGCAUGGCUACAGCUGGAUCAAACGCCACUCCGACCCCCGGUGUUAAAACACCCACUCUGUAAACUGUACGUCAUAGACUCCCCCGUUGACAUAUGGUGCAUAUGUCCAUGACCGUAUAUAGUGCCAGACCCCACCCCCAAACAUCUCAUGAAGUGGGGAUUGAACCUUCAAUUUUUUUGGACGCCGCAAGACUGAAUCACAGAGCUUCCCCUCUGGAGAAACUACACACUCACUCUCCCAUCAUCCUUUGCAGUGUUGGCAUCAAGUGGACUUGAUGUGGUACAAUACCCCCCCAUCCCGCUCGUCCCGCCAACCAACCCCCCCCCCCCCCCCAUCCAGGUGGAUCUCGAUGGCGUUGGGUUGGUGAUUGGCAGGGAAGGAUUGGAUGCACCUGGCUCAGAUACCACCAGCUAAGCCCCCUGUUCCCCCCCACAUGCCCUCACACACCUCCACGGAUGGACUCCACCUGACCCCGCCCCCCCUUUGCGGGAGGGCGGCACGUCAGCAAGGGAGGAAGUGGACGCAGCUCUUUCCAAGGACAUGGACCAGUGCUUAAUGGGAAGAGCUGACCUGAUGGGGAGGUGGUGCCCCGAUGCUUCCACCAUUAUAGGAGGGGUGGGGGUCGGGUCGGGUCGGGGUUACAAAGCGAGGGGUUUGUUGAUGUGUUACUGUUGGAUCCAAGCUGGUUUAACUGGGAGGCUUCAUGGCUCAUUGAUUUUUUUCCUUCUUAGCAGUCAUUUCAGCUGGUCCCCUCCUCUUCCUCCUCCCCACAUCCACCAGUCUGGGUGAAGCUACAGCAUGCUGAGGGCGGGCAGAAAGCGCUGGCGUCUGAACGCAGCGGGCGG